AAGUAAUCAGAGACUUGUGAAUCUUACACAAUACACACACACACACACACACAUACAUACAUUUAUAUAUAUAUAUAUAUAUAUAGAGAGAGAGAGAGACAUUUAAUUAUUUUCAGCUAUUUACUCUAUUUUUUUUAGAUAAACAUUACAGUAGAAUGUAUUUUGACAAACAUAUAUGGAGUAUAACUUACUGUAAUUAGGAUUCCAUUCUUGUGAUUGUACAUGAUGUAGAGUUUCAUUAGUGGCGUAUGCAUAUAUGCCAUAGGAAAGUUAUGUCUGAUUGAUUCUACUGUCUUUCCUAUUCCCUAUCACCCUCCCUUCCCUUCAUUCAUUCCCCUUUGUCUAAAUCACUGAACUACUAUUCUUCUCUCCUCCCCAUAUUGUAUUUUUGCAUCCACAUAUCAGAGCAUUCAGCCUUUGGUUUUUUGAGAUUGGCUUAUUUUCCUUAGCAUGAUCUCUAGGUCCAUCCCUUUACUGGCAAAAGUCAUAAAGUUAUUUUUUAUGGCCAAGUAAUAUUCCAUGUGUAUAUAUACCACAUUUCUUUAUCCAUUCAUCUGUUGAAGGGCACCUAGGUUGGUUCCAUAGCUUAGCUGUUGUGAAUUGAGCUGCUAAAAACAUUGAUGAGGCUGUAUCACUAUAGUGCUAAUUUUAAGUACUUUGGGUGUAUAUCAAGGAGUAGGAUAACUGGGUCAAGUGAUGUUAGUUCCAUUCCCCGUUUUCUAAGGAAUCUCCAUGCAGCUUUCCAGAGUGGUUGCACCAAUUUGCAGUCCCAUCAGCAAUGUAUGAAUGUACCUUUUUCCCUACAUCCUCAUCAACCUUUAUCGUUACUUGUGUUUUUGAUAAUUGCCAUUCUGACUGGAGUGAGAUGGAAUCUCAGUGUAGUUUUAAUCUGCACUUCUCUAAUAGCUAGAGAAGUUGAACAUUUUUUUCAUAUAUUUAUUGACCAUUUGUAUUCUUUUGAGAAGUACCUAUUCAGUUCCUUUGCCCAUUUAUUGAUUGGAUUAUUUGUGUUUUUUUGGUGUUAAAAGUUUUUUUGAGUUCUUUAUAUAUCCUGGAAAUUAAUGCUCUGUCUGAGGUGCAGGUGGCAAAAAUUUUCUCCAAUUCUGUAGGCUCUCUCUUCACAUUUUUUAUUGUUUCCUCUGCUGUGCAGAAGCUUUUUAGUUUUAUACCAUCCCAUUUAUUGAUUCUUUGAUUUAAUUUCUUGCAUUUUGGAGUCUUAUUAAGGAAGUCAUUUCCUAAGCCAAAAUGGAGAGUUGGGCCUACAUUUUCUUCUGGUCAGUAUAGGGUCUUCUGGUCUAAUGCCUAGGUCCUUGAUCCACUUUGAGUUUUGUGCAAGGUGAGAGGGGUUAAAUUUCAUUCUGCUAUGUAUGGAUUUCCAGUUUCCCCAACACCAUUUGUUGAAGAGGCUGUUUUUUCUCCAAUUUGUGUUUAUAGCACCUUUGUCUAAUAUAAGAUAACUGUGUUUAUGUGACUUUCUGUCUAUGUCUUCUAUUCUGUUUGUUUCAUUGACCUUCAUGUCUGGGUGCCAGUAGCAUGCUUUUUUGUUACUAUGGCUCUGUAGUAUAAUUUGAGGUCUGGUAUUGUGAUGUCUCCUGAUUCUCUUGAUGAGGAUUGUUUGUCUAUUCUGGACAUCAUAUUUUUCCAAAUGAAUUUCAUAACUGCUUUUUCUAUUUCUAUGAAGAAUGUCAUAUAAAUUACAUUAAAUCUGUAUAGUGCAUUUUGAUAAUAUGCUUGUCAAAGAACAUGGGAGAUGUUUCCAUCUUCUAAGGUCGUCUUUAAUUUCUUUAGUGUUCUGUAGUUAUCGCUGCAGAGGUUUUUUCACCUCUUGUUAGAUUGAUUCCCAAGUAUUCUAUUUUUUUAAGGCUAUUAUGAAUGGGAUAGUUUUCUUAAUUUCUCUUUCAUCCAGUUACUAAUGUUAUUAAGUUUGAGCUAGGGAUACCCUCUCUUGGCUCCCUUUAAUAGCAUAUUUAAUUGAACAGACAUUUUAGAACUGUUGAUUAAAAU
This 2004-nucleotide long non-coding RNA is filed under the name Marmota monax (woodchuck). The record is from RNAcentral. Lineage: Eukaryota; Metazoa; Chordata; Mammalia; Rodentia; Sciuridae.